Molecule: long non-coding RNA, 346 nt
Filed under: Lathyrus oleraceus (garden pea)
Lineage: Eukaryota; Viridiplantae; Streptophyta; Magnoliopsida; Fabales; Fabaceae
Description: Pisum sativum (pea) long non-coding RNA (PSAT_LNC034436)
Source: RNAcentral
UUAGAUGGAUUCAAAAUGUUUUAUUCAUGAGCGUACAUAUUGAUUACCAAGCGUGUGAAUGUUUGACUCAGGCGCAUCAUGGAACGCGCGCGCUCAACCACUUGACAUGCCACCUCAAUUAAUGAGGCAGAUCAAGUGGUCCACGUUUUUUAUUAUUUUCUGAUUUUCUUUUAUUCCUUUUAUUUUCACUAAUUCAUAUUAAUUUUAAUAUUGAUCCAAAAAAUAUGAGAGUUUCACCAAAAAAAAUAAAAAAAAAUUCUCUUUCAUAUUCUGAAUUAAAAUCAUUUUUUGGAUCAUUAUUAAUAUUUUUCAUGAUUUAAUUGAUUUUUCAUUUGUUUUUAAUUAU